Molecule: long non-coding RNA, 792 nt
Filed under: Rattus norvegicus (Norway rat)
Lineage: Eukaryota; Metazoa; Chordata; Mammalia; Rodentia; Muridae
Description: long non-coding RNA NONRATT013894
Source: RNAcentral
GUUCCUAGGAUAACCAGUGUAUGGCCAAGGACGCCUUUCCGACCACUUUUCUCUGCCAUACAAACAGCUUCUCUGCUGAGCUCUCAUCCUUUUGAAGCAGCCAUGUUUGGGGUAGCAGGGGCUAUGUAUUAUCUGUUUGAGAGAGCUUUUACCAGCAGGUGGAAACCCUCAAAGGUUGGCCUCUUUCUGCUGGUUCUGGGAAUUCCUUUACUCUCUGUCUGACAGUGACACCUCAGCUACUACACUCUGCAAGAAUUAACAGCUCAGAUGGGCACUCUGCUUUUGAUUGCUGAUUCCAAUCUUGUAUAGGACGCAUAGAUCAUGCUGUGAUCUCAUUGGAGAAGAAAAUAGCUGAAAGGACAACAAACUCAAAAUGCAGCAUCAGCUAGAGAGCCUGUGGGUGUUAGUCUCUGGGAAUGGCUCCCUGUCAGCAGGGCAUUGCUUCCUCCUGACUCAUGCUCUCCCACCAGUGGAGUUUUGGGAAGGGUUUAUUCACUCGCCCAGCUGGCAAACCAGCCCCUUGCUAGCCAAACAGCCAUGAUGGACAGCCUGCCACACCUAUAGAGGUGUGUCCCUGGCAUUUCCUCUACACUUCAUCAUCAGCUCUGUGGCCCAAUACCCCACCCCUCUCGGAGUGCUGCUUCUCCAGAGAGAAGUGAGUUGUCUUUUUACUGAUAGUUAUUCAAAACAUUUUUUAUUAUUUCUCAUUACUUUUGGGGGAUUUUUCUCCUCACAGAAUAAUAAAUGUCACUAUCAUUUGAAUGUUUACAAAAAAAACAAAAAACACAUUAA